GUUUACUUUGAAAANAUUAGAGUGUUCAAAGCAGCGUUUCGCUUGAAUACAUGAGCAUGGAAUAAUGGAAUAGGACUUUGGUUCUAUUUUGUUGGUUUCUAGGACCGAAGUAAUGAUUAAGAGGGACAAACGGGGGCANCUGUAUUUCGUUGCNAGAGGUUAAAUUCUUGGAUUUGCGAAAGACAAACAACUGCGAAAGCACUUGCCAAGAGUGUNNUCAUUAAUCAAGNNCGAAAGUUAGAGGUNAUAAGACGAUCAGAUACAUUCCUNGUUCUAACCAUAAACGAUGUCGACUAGGGAUCGGCGGGCGUUAUUUUAUGACCCCGUUGGCCACUUACGGGAAACCAAAGUUUUUG
RNAcentral lists this ribosomal RNA (356 nucleotides) under Hydra sp. Its description in RNAcentral is "partial 18S ribosomal RNA". It matches the Rfam family "Eukaryotic small subunit ribosomal RNA", at positions 750 to 1109 of the family's 1831-position model. The record is from RNAcentral. Lineage: Eukaryota; Metazoa; Cnidaria; Hydrozoa; Anthoathecata; Hydridae.